GACGAACGCUGGCGGCGUGCCUAAUACAUGCAAGUAGAACGCACAGUUUAUACCGUAGCUUGCUACACCAUAAACUGUGAGUUGCGAACGGGUGAGUAACGCGUAGGUAACCUGCCUGGUAGCGGGGGAUAACUAUUGGAAACGAUAGCUAAUACCGCAUAAUAUUAAUUAUUGCAUGAUAAUUGAUUGAAAGAUGCAAUUGCAUCACUACCAGAUGGACCUGCGUUGUAUUAGCUAGUAGGUGAGGUAACGGCUCACCUAGGCGACGAUACAUAGCCGACCUGAGAGGGUGAUCGGCCAUACUGGGACUGAGACACGGCCCAGACUCCUACGGGAGGCAGCAGUAGGGAAUCUUCGGCAAUGGACGAAAGUCUGACCGAGCAACGCCGCGUGAGUGAAGAAGGUUUUCGGAUCGUAAAGCUCUGUUGUAAGAGAAGAACGGGUGUGAGGGUGGAAAGUUCACACUGUGACGGUAUCUUACCAGAAAGGGACGGCUAACUACGUG
RNAcentral lists this ribosomal RNA (505 nucleotides) under uncultured bacterium. Its description in RNAcentral is "partial 16S ribosomal RNA". It matches the Rfam family "Bacterial small subunit ribosomal RNA", at positions 28 to 507 of the family's 1533-position model. The record is from RNAcentral.